GACGGGCCCCUCUGAACUCUCGUCUGAUUGGUGGAUCAGACGUGUCGGCGGGGGUGUGGCCGUGGCUGGCCAGCCUGCACCUGAACGGGACACACACCUGCGGAGGAACUCUGGUGUCCGAGACGCUCGUGCUCACCUCAGCCAACUGCUUCUCCAGCUCCAGCACGCCUUCUGAUUGGACGGUGUUCCUGGGCCGCCUGCGACAGAACGGCUCCAACCCCAAUGAGGAGUCUGUGGGUGUGGCCAACAUCACGCUGAGCAGCCUAUCAGGCGAGAACGUGGCCAUGGUGCAGCUGACCAGGAAGCCCACCCUCUCCAACUUCAUUCAGCCAGUCUGCGUGGAACAGAACGCCAUCGCCACGGGAACCACCUGCUGGGUCGCAGGCUGGGGCAACGCACAGGCUGGAGGUGAGCAGCCCCUUCAGGAGGUGCAGACAUCAGUGGUUGCCUGUGGCAACGCAUCCUCCUCUGCUGAUGACAUCUGCACCAACACUCUUCAGUUACAGCAGGGUGAUAUGGGAGGUCCCCUCAUGUGUAAGCAGGGCGUGUCGUGGUUCCAGGUUUCAGUGAUCGCUGUAAACUCCUCCUCCUCCCUGUCCAACUCCACCUCCACCUCCACCUCCAGAGCCGCCAGCCAAUCAGAUCGCUCCUCAGUGCAGGUCUUCAGUCGGACGUCUCGGUUCAGCACCUUCCUGUCAGGCUUCACCUUCCCUAUGACCUUCACCUCCGCCACCACCCCCAACACCACCUCCACCCCCACCAACACCACCACCACCACCACCUCCGCCACCAGUGGGGGGCGCCACUCCUACACCCCCCUCUCCCUCCUCUCCCUCCUCUCGCUCCUCUUCCUCUCCCUCUACGCCGCUCAGCUGGCCUCCCAGCACUAACCCUGAGGUCAUGACUGCCUACAAUCCAGUACUGAAAUAACAAACGAGGUGUGUGUGUGUGUGUGUGUGUGUGUGAGAUGUAUGUGUAACAUCAUUAAUCAGGGAUCAAUUAUGUGAUGUACGGGUAACGUCAUUAAUCAGGGAUCAAUUAUGUGAUGUAUGUGUAAGUAACAUUAUUAAUCAGGGAUCAAUUAUGUGAAGGGAGCACUGUAGCUAAGGUAAUUUGACAUCAGCUCUGUAAUAUACUAUACUUAUCAUGGCAUUGUGUGUGUGUGUGUGUUGGUGUUUGUGUGUGUAUGUGUGUGUAUGUGUAGCUCUGUAAGUGACCGCACUUGUCAUGACAGUGUGUGUGUGUGUGUGUGUGUGUGUGUGUGUGUAUAUGUCUGUGGCUCUGUAAGCGACCGCACUUGUCAUGACAGUGUGUGUGUGUGUGUGUGUGUGUGUGUGUGUAGCUCUGUAAGCGACCGCACUUGUCAUGACAGUGUGUGUGUGUGUGUGUGUGUGUAUGUGUAGCUCUGUAAGCGACCGCACUUGUCAUGACAGUGUGUGUGUGUGUGUGUGUGUGUGUGUGUGUGUGUGUGUGUGUGUGUGUGUGUGUGUGGCUCUGUAAGCGACCACACUUUCUCAGGGUCUCCUGGUUUGCACUUAAAAUCAUGGCAAUAAUAGAUUUUAAUUUUAAUUUUAAAAUGUAAGUUUUUUAUUGUAAUGACACUUUAUAUCCAGUGAGAUUUGAUAUAGUAGUUAGUUCAUAAAACUCAAUUUUUUCUGUCUUUAUAAUUUUCUCUAUGCAAAUAAAAUGAAUAAUUCUAUGCAA
This is a long non-coding RNA of Clupea harengus (Atlantic herring), 1704 nucleotides long. The record is from Ensembl. NCBI's taxonomy places the organism in Eukaryota, Metazoa, Chordata, Actinopteri, Clupeiformes, Clupeidae.